This 362-nucleotide ribosomal RNA is filed under the name uncultured bacterium. RNAcentral's name for it is "bacterial SSU rRNA". It matches the Rfam family "Bacterial small subunit ribosomal RNA", at positions 29 to 419 of the family's 1533-position model. The record is from RNAcentral.
AACGAACGCUGGCGGCAUGCCUAACACAUGCAAGUCGUACGAGACCUUCGGGUCUAGUGGCGCACGGGUGCGUAACGCGUGGGAAUCUGCCCUUAGGUACGGAAUAACUCAGGGAAACUUGAGCUAAUACCGUAUAAUGACUUCGGUCCAAAGAUUUAUCGCCUAAGGAUGAGCCCGCGUCGGAUUAGCUAGUUGGUGAGGUAAAAGCUCACCAAGGCGACGAUCCGUAGCUGGCUGAGAGGAUGAUCAGCCACACUGGGACUGAGACACGGCCCAGACUCCUACGGGAGGCAGCAGUGGGGAAUAUUGGACAAUGGGCGAAAGCCUGAUCCAGCAAUGCCGCGUGAGUGAUGAAGGCCUUA